UAAGCAUAUCACUAAGGGGAGGAAAAGAAACUAACAAGGAUUCCCUCAGUAACGGCGAGUGAAGCGGGAAGUAGCCCAGCACCGAAUCCCCCAGCCUUUGUCCGGGGCGGCGGGAACUGUGGUGUUUAGGACGACCUCUGAGUCGGCACCGCGCGUCCGAGUCCUCCUGAUCGGGGCCCUCUCCCACAGCGGGUGUAAGGCCUCUACCGGCGCGCGUGGCCGUCGCUCUGAGCGUCCUCGGAGUCGGGUUGUUUGAGAAUGCAGCCCAAAGCGGGUGGUAAACUCCAUCUAAGGCUAAAUACGGACACGAGACCGAUAGCGGACAAGUACCGUGAGGGAAAGUUGCAAAGAACUUUGAAGAGAGAGUUCAAGAGUACGUGAAACCGUUUAGAGGUAAACGGAUGGGACCGCAAAAGUCGACCCGCGGAAUUCAACUCGCCCGGCGGAAGCCGGCGGGGGUGCCUCACCGGAUCCCUUGUAGGACCGGCCCCCCGCCGAGGCGGAAGCAGGGCGCGUGCAUUUUCCGCGGGGAGAGCGCCACGACCGGUCCGACGGCGGCCUGAAGCCGAUCCGUACGGGAAGGUGCCCGGAGGGACCCUCGGGUCUCGACGGCGUUACAGCCCGGAUGGGUAUUGGCCCGCCCGGAGGACCGAGGUCGAAUCGAUCGAUACCGUGCCCGCCGUCGUUAGAGGCAGGGGCGUCCGGGGGGUCCCGGCGAGUUCGGCAGGGGCGGACUGUUCGCAGUGCGCUCCGACUGCCCGCCGGGACGCUUAAACCCCCGGGUCCGUCAGACCCCAGGUGGUGGCACUCGAGGUCGGUGGCGAAUCGGUCGGCACCCCAUCCGACCCGUCUUGAAAACACGGA
Molecule: ribosomal RNA, 864 nt
Filed under: Tainokia logachevae
Lineage: Eukaryota; Metazoa; Annelida; Polychaeta; Eunicida; Oenonidae
Description: eukaryotic LSU rRNA
Rfam family: Eukaryotic large subunit ribosomal RNA
Source: RNAcentral